AUUGAACGCUGGCGGCAGGCCUAACACAUGCAAGUCGAGCGGAUGAAGGGAGCUUGCUCCUGGAUUCAGCGGCGGACGGGUGAGUAAUGCCUAGGAAUCUGCCUGGUAGUGGGGGAUAACGUCCGGAAACGGGCGCUAAUACCGCAUACGUCCUGCGGGAGAAAGUGGGGGAUCUUCGGACCUCACGCUAUCAGAUGAGCCUAGGUCGGAUUAGCUAGUUGGUGGGGUAAAGGCCUACCAAGGCGACGAUCCGUAACUGGUCUGAGAGGAUGAUCAGUCACACUGGAACUGAGACACGGUCCAGACUCCUACGGGAGGCAGCAGUGGGGAAUAUUGGACAAUGGGCGAAAGCCUGAUCCAGCCAUGCCGCGUGUGUGAAGAAGGUCUUCGGAUUGUAAAGCACGUUAAGUUGGGAGGAAGGGCAGUAAGUUAAUACCUUGCUGUUUUGACGUUACCAACAGAAUAAGCACCGGCUAACUUCGUG
This 484-nucleotide ribosomal RNA is filed under the name uncultured bacterium. RNAcentral's name for it is "partial 16S ribosomal RNA". It matches the Rfam family "Bacterial small subunit ribosomal RNA", at positions 30 to 507 of the family's 1533-position model. The record is from RNAcentral.